GCUGGGCAUGGUGGCGCGUGCCUGUAAUCCCAGCUACUCAGGAGGCUGAGGCGGGAGAAUUGCCUGAACCCAGGAGGCGGAGGUUGCAGUGAGCCGAGAUCGCGCCAUUGCACUCCAGCCUGGGUAACAAGAGCGAGACUCCGUCUCAA
Callithrix jacchus (white-tufted-ear marmoset) is the source of this 149-nucleotide unclassified non-coding RNA. It matches the Rfam family "Metazoan signal recognition particle RNA". From Rfam's summary of the family: The signal recognition particle (SRP) is a universally conserved ribonucleoprotein. It is involved in the co-translational targeting of proteins to membranes. The record is from Ensembl. Lineage: Eukaryota; Metazoa; Chordata; Mammalia; Primates; Cebidae.